Long non-coding RNA from Wasmannia auropunctata (little fire ant), 331 nucleotides. RefSeq lists it as uncharacterized. The record is from RefSeq and is a predicted model, not a curated record. The transcript is spliced from 3 exons. NCBI's taxonomy places the organism in Eukaryota, Metazoa, Arthropoda, Insecta, Hymenoptera, Formicidae.
GCGCCGACAGCAAAAUCAGAAGCGUCACAGGUCAAAAUCAAAGGAACCGAAGGUGCAGGAUGUGUUAAAGCUGCGACUUGAAUAAGCUCUUCCUUGCAAUUCUUGAAAGCUUCUUCCGCUUAAGGAGUCCAAGGAAUUAUUCUUCUGUCACGCUUUCUGCUAUCCUUAAGAAAUUCGGUGUCGGUUUAAUACCUUGACUGGAUACCAAAUAACCAAGAAAAGGAAUUUCAGAAGAACCGAAAAGACAUUUAGAAAUAUUUAUUGUUAAACCAAAUUGCUGAAGGCGUUGAAAAAUGGCGCUGAAAGGUUUGAGCAGCAUUACGGAGACCGA